Populus trichocarpa (black cottonwood) is the source of this 518-nucleotide long non-coding RNA. RefSeq lists it as uncharacterized. The transcript has 2 exons. Lineage: Eukaryota; Viridiplantae; Streptophyta; Magnoliopsida; Malpighiales; Salicaceae. The record is from RefSeq and is a predicted model, not a curated record.
UUCUUUCUCUUUUAUUUCUAUCUUACCAGCUUUGUGAUUCUCAUUCCUCCUCUACACUUGCAUGACUCUGCCGUGUAUAUAAACCAUGUUAAGAGAUAAUGAAACGUAGUACAGGCCAGCUUAUUUAGACAUCAUCAUUUUAUUUCUCUAUCAGUCAGUGAAGGAUUGAAGAAUAAUGGCAUCGUUGAAGGCUGAGAAAUCUGUUGGCACUCAACUCUUCGGGCAGGCCAAGAAGGAGCCUGCCAAGCUUAAUGACAGCACCUCUAAAACCACGGCUUCAAAGCCAGCCGCAAAGAAGGCUGCACAAAAGCCUCAAGAACCCAAGAAGAAGGGAAAAGGAGGCAAAUCAGGGAAGCACUAAGCUAACUGUGAAAUGCAUAAGCUGUGGGAUGGCUCAAGUAAUAGUCCCCAUGCUCUAUCUAAUUUCAGUGUUCUAAGCCCUAUCAUACUGAUGGGCUAUUGAUGUAUCUGAAUGUAAGGCACUUGCGUUAGUGAAAUAAAAUUUGGUAUUUGAAACU